Molecule: long non-coding RNA, 2787 nt
Filed under: Sus scrofa (pig)
Lineage: Eukaryota; Metazoa; Chordata; Mammalia; Artiodactyla; Suidae
Description: lncRNA (ENSSSCG00050011911.1)
Source: RNAcentral
ACCUGCAGCAUAUGGAGGUUCCCAGGCUAGGGGUCUAAUUUAAGCUACAGUUGCCAGCUUACGCCAAAGCCACAGCACCGCCAGAUCCGAGCCGUAUCUGCAACCUACACCACAGCUCACAGCAACACCAGAUCCUUAACCCACUGAUUGAAGCCAGGAAUCGAACCUGCAACCUCAUAGUUGCUAGUUGGAUUCAUUUCCGAUACACCAAGAUGGGGACUCCAUAAGCUCAUUUUUAAAUGAAUCACCAUUAGCCCUAAAUUUCUUACUGAAAAUAUGGAAAGACAAAGACUUACAGUUCUAAACCUUGAUAAAUCUAUGAAAGUGAUGACCACAUAAAUUAACCUACAAAUGUCAAAAAGCAACCAUUAAUUCAAUAAUUUAUCCAACAACUACACUAUGUGCCCAGCAUUUUAUGUCAGGCAGCCAAAAUAACAUAAAUAAUAUCUAUCCUCAAGAAAAGCACAAAUAUGACAGGAGAAUCACAUGAGUGAAUAACCAAACAUGAUUGGCAAGGCAAACAAAAUCUUACAGGCAAACAGAAGAUGACUGAAAUUGGAAGUCAUGUUCGCAGACUGAGACGACAAGUGAUCUGGUUGCAUAGGAAUGUGGAGUAAGAUGUGGGGGCUGAGAGGGUGUUAAGCCCAAACUGUCAGAGAAAGGCAUGAUGAGCAGAGGAUACAGCAUGAGCAAAGGUAGAGAAGAAUACACAUAUACAAAAGUGAGAGAUAAAAACUUAAAUAACAUUACAUUACUUUGAGAUGGAUAUCCUUUUUUAUAAAACAUUCUUACAAAAUAAUUUUAACCAAAGAUUAUUUUCUUAGACACCUAAAAUUCUAGGACUAGCCUAACAUUUAUGAAGUAGUCCUAGGGAAAUAACUCAAUAUGCUGUUAUCUAAAAUAAACAGAACAGAGAGUUCCCAUCGUGGCAAUAGCAGGUAAAUGAAUCCAAUUAGGAACCAUGAGGUUACCGGUUUGAUCCCUGGCCUCGCUCAGCGGGUCAAGUAUCCAGCAUUGCAGUGAGCUAUGGUGUAGUCGCAGAUGUGGCUCAGAUCUGGUGGUGCUGUGGCCGUGGCGUAGGCCGGCCGCUACAGCUCCCACUUGACCCCUAGUCUGGGAACUUCCAUACACUGCAGGUGCAGCCCUAAAAAGACAAAAGAAAAGAGAAGAGAAAAGAAAAGAAAUUUAAUCUUACAUCAUUUCCUUUAAUAUUUAAGCUCAAGUCAAAACCACACAAGCAACAGCUUCAAAUCCUUACCUUUCAUUGCUACCAUUUUCAUGAGCCUCACAUCAGUUAUUCUAAAACUCCUAAAUUUAAAUUCUUUCAUAGCUAUAAAUUUGGCUUCUCAAAAGGAACCAUAAAUUUCCUUAAGAGCAAAAACCAUAAUUUAAUACCUUUGAAGGUCCCAACAUAAAUCUAGAAACAUAGAAGAUACCCAAUUAAAUAUUUAUUGACUAACUGUUUACUGAGAUUGGAAUUUUUACGUUUUUAAAGAACAUGCUACCUUAAAACAUACUUAAUAUUACAUAGUUUUGCAGCUUUUCAUUCUAAGAAAACCUUGAUAAGAAACUUGAUAAGAAAACCAGAAAAUGGCUGGGAAUUACUAUUCUGAGAAAUUCUAAUCUGCCUGCCAUCAUAACCCAGUAUUAGGUUUGGUUACAAUUUUUGCCCUACUGAGACAAUUUUAUUAGUCCACCAGCUAACUCACAGUAACCACAUAAGAAACACUGCGAGUAAUGUUUACAACUCUGACUUCACACGUUAAGCCAAAACUCUAAAUAAAAUAAUGCAACCCUGAAGUUUAGAUGUUUCCAUGCUUUGCAAUUCUCACACGACCAUGAAAAACUUUAAAAAAAAAAAAAAUAAAAUAAAUAUAACUGGUAUUAUAAAUGCACUUAAGGAGUUCCCGUCAUGGCUCAGUGGUUAACGAAUCUGACUAGGUUCGAUCCCUGGCCUUGCUCAGUGGGUUACGGAUCUGGUGUUGCCAUGAGCUGUGGUAUAGGUUGCAGAUGUGGCUCGGAACCCGAGUUGCUGUGGCUGUGGUGUAGGCCGGUGGCUACAGCUCCAAUUCAACCCCUAGACUGGGAACCUCCAUAUGCCAUGGGAGCAGCCCAAGAAAUGGUAAAAAGACCAAAAAAAAAAAAAUGCACUUAAGCAAUUUCAAUAAAUGAUCACUUUAAAAACAUGGGUAGGGAAGUUCCCAUUGCAGCUCAGUAGGUUAAGAACCCAACUAGGAUCCAUGAGAAUGUGCUGAUCCCUGGCCUGACUCAGUGGGUUUAAAGGAUCCGGCAUUGCCUUGAGCUGUGGUAUAAGCCUCAGACACAGCUCGGAUCUGGCAUUGCUGUGGCUAUGGCACAGGACAGCAGAUGCAGCUCCGAUUAGACCCCUAGCCUAGGAACUUCCAUAAGCCUUGGGUGUGGCCCUAAAAAGACCAAAACAAACAAACAAUAACAGGUAGGGAAAAAACACAUGAUAAGCUUGGCAGUAAAAGCAACUAUUCUUUCAAUAACUGAAUGAUUUAUUUACUAUUGUAAAGGUGAUUAUGUUUAGAACACUGGACAGUAAGUAGUCUAUGAAUACUUGAGGAUUUAAAAUACUUGACUACUUAAAAAAGGAACAGUUUGAGGUAAACACUUGUUAAGAAUAUGUGUGAAAUAAUACACAGUACCAUAAAUUUGAAAAGUAUGAAACUGAGGUAUUUCCCAGUUUUGAUUAUAUAUACCUUGCUUUCGGAAAUAAAAUCUCUUUCUGGAAACUGUCUAUAAAGUGAUUUUUUUUUUAAAUUC